GGGCGGGUAGCUCAACGGCUAGAGCAUUCGCUUUACACGCGAAGGGUUCGGGGUUCGAAUCCCCGCCUGCCCA
This 73-nucleotide transfer RNA is filed under the name Phycisphaerae bacterium. RNAcentral describes it as "tRNA-Val". It matches the Rfam family "tRNA". From Rfam's summary of the family: Transfer RNA (tRNA) molecules are approximately 80 nucleotides in length. Their secondary structure includes four short double-helical elements and three loops (D, anti-codon, and T loops). Further hydrogen bonds mediate the characteristic L-shaped molecular structure. tRNAs have two regions of fundamental functional importance: the anti-codon, which is responsible for specific mRNA codon recognition, and the 3' end, to which the tRNAs corresponding amino acid is attached (by aminoacyl-tRNA synthetases). tRNAs cope with the degeneracy of the genetic code in two manners: having more than one tRNA (with a specific anti-codon) for a particular amino acid; and 'wobble' base-pairing, i.e. permitting non-standard base-pairing at the 3rd anti-codon position. The record is from RNAcentral. Lineage: Bacteria; Pseudomonadati; Planctomycetota; Phycisphaerae.